GGGGCUGACUUGGAUUUCGACAGAUUUCUUGUCGCACAGAUAGCAUGCCAAGCGCUACUUGUAAAACAGCAACAAAAAUAACUGUAAACAACGCAGAUUACGCUCCAGCUUACGCUAAAGCUGCGUGAGUUAAUCUCCUUUUGGAGCUGGACUGAUUAGAAUUUCUAGCGUUUUAAUCACUCCAUAACCUUAAGCUAGACGCUUUUAAAAGGUGGUUCGCCUUUUAAACUAAGAACAAGAACUCUUGAAACUACCUCAAGGUUUUAGAAAGUUGGACCAGAGCUAGUUUUAAGGCUAAAAAACUAACCAAUUUUCUAAGCAUUGUAGAAGUUUGUGUUUAGGGCAAGAUUUUUGGAUUGGGGUUCGAUUCCCCACAGCUCCACCA
RNAcentral lists this transfer-messenger RNA (385 nucleotides) under Helicobacter pylori. Its description in RNAcentral is "Standard tmRNA". It matches the Rfam family "transfer-messenger RNA". From Rfam's summary of the family: Bacterial tmRNA, also known as 10Sa RNA or SsrA, is named for its dual tRNA and mRNA-like properties. Its role is to liberate the mRNA from a stalled ribosome. To accomplish this part of the tmRNA is used as a reading frame that ends in a translation stop signal. Lineage: Bacteria; Pseudomonadati; Campylobacterota; Epsilonproteobacteria; Campylobacterales; Helicobacteraceae. The record is from RNAcentral.